This 135-nucleotide small nucleolar RNA is filed under the name Astyanax mexicanus (Mexican tetra). RNAcentral describes it as "Small nucleolar RNA SNORA17 (ENSAMXG00005013973.1)". It matches the Rfam family "Small nucleolar RNA SNORA17". Rfam says of the family: snoRNA ACA 17 belongs to the H/ACA family of snoRNAs and is predicted to guide pseudouridylation of the 28S rRNA at positions U4659 and U4598. It shares the same host gene together with ACA43. The record is from RNAcentral. Lineage: Eukaryota; Metazoa; Chordata; Actinopteri; Characiformes; Acestrorhamphidae.
AUUGCCCCUUGAGGCGUUGCAAUGCGACUGACCUGUCGUUUUUUUGUGUCAUAAGGUGGCAUAGAAGAAAGGGCUAUGUUUACGCCUCGAACCCUUUUCUUCAGUGGGUUCUCAGUGUCUUUAUAGUCCUACAAG